RNAcentral lists this ribosomal RNA (265 nucleotides) under uncultured bacterium. RNAcentral describes it as "partial 16S ribosomal RNA". It matches the Rfam family "Bacterial small subunit ribosomal RNA", at positions 88 to 354 of the family's 1533-position model. The record is from RNAcentral.
CGGGCGACCGGCGCACGGGUGCGUAACGCGUAUGCAACCUACCCAUUACAGGGGGAUAACACUGAGAAAUUGGUACUAAUACCCCAUAACAUCACCGGAGGCAUCUUCGGUGGUUGAAAACUCAGGUGGUCAGAGAUGGACAUGCGUUGUAUUAGCUAGUUGGUGAGGUAACGGCUCACCAAGGCGACGAUACAUAGGGGGACUGAGAGGUCAACCCCCCACAUUGGUACUGAGACACGGACCAAACUCCUACGGAAGGCAGCAG